This 71-nucleotide transfer RNA is filed under the name Diaphanoeca grandis. The record is from RNAcentral. Lineage: Eukaryota; Choanoflagellata; Acanthoecida; Stephanoecidae.
GACAAGGUAUCUGGCCAGCGGUUGAAUGUGGAGCCGGGUGUCAGUCUGCCGCUGGGCACUGCAGGAUUCUU